CUCCCCAUGAGAGUGGCGCACGGGUGCGUAACGCGUGAGCAACCUGCCCGUCCCAGGGGGAUAGCCCGUUGAAAGACGGAUUAACACCGCAUGACGUAGUUAACUGGCAUCAGUAUACUACCAAAUAUUUAUAGGGGACGGAUGGGCUCGCGUGACAUUAGCUGGUUGGAGAGGUAACGGCUCACCAAGGCGACGAUGUCUAGGGGCUCUGAGAGGAGAAUCCCCCACACUGGUACUGAGACACGGACCAGACUCCUACGGGAGGCAGCAGUAAGGAAUAUUGGUCAAUGGGCGGAAGCCUGAACCAGCCAUGCCGCGUGCAGGAAGACGGCCCUACGGGUUGUAAACUGCUUUUGUACGGGAAUAACCCCUAUUAUGUAUAAUAGGUUGAAUGUACCGUAAGAAUAAGGAUCGGCUAACUCCGUGCCAGCAGCCGCGGUAAUACGGAGGAUCCGAGCGUUAUCCGGAAUUAUUGGGUUUAAAGGGUGCGUAGGCGGCCCGGUAAGUCAGGGGUGAAAGACGGUGGCUCAACCAUCGCAGUGCCUUUGAUACUGCCGGGCUUGAAUAUACUUGAGGUGGGCGGAAUGUGACAAGUAGCGGUGAAAUGCAUAGAUAUGUCACAGAACGCCGAUUGCGAAGGCAGCUCACUAAGGUAAGAUUGACGCUGAGGCACGAAAGCGUGGGGAUCAAACAGGAUUAGAUACCCUGGUAGUCCACGCCCUAAACGAUGAACACUCGGUGCUGGCGAUAUACAGUCAGUGCCCAAGCGAAAGCGUUAAGUGUUCCACCUGGGGAGUACGCCCGCAAGGGUGAAACUCAAAGGAAUUGACGGGGGCCCGCACAAGCGGAGGAGCAUGUGGUUUAAUUCGAUGAUACGCGAGGAACCUUACCCGGGCUUGAAAGUUAGUGAAUAACUCAGAGAUGAGUUAGUCCUUCGGGACACGAAACUAGGUGCUGCAUGGCUGUCGUCAGCUCGUGCCGUGAGGUGUUGGGUUAAGUCCCGCAACGAGCGCAACCCCUGUGGAUAGUUGCCAGC
RNAcentral lists this ribosomal RNA (1036 nucleotides) under Parapedobacter sp. RNAcentral's name for it is "bacterial SSU rRNA". It matches the Rfam family "Bacterial small subunit ribosomal RNA", at positions 83 to 1122 of the family's 1533-position model. Lineage: Bacteria; Pseudomonadati; Bacteroidota; Sphingobacteriia; Sphingobacteriales; Sphingobacteriaceae. The record is from RNAcentral.